GAGGGCCCCACGUUCUGGCAACAUGGCGAACCUGUGAACUAGGGAAGCCCUCCCAGCACAGAAAGUGCCAGGAAAAUAAAAACAAACAGAACAUUUUAAAAUUUAUGACUGUGUAAGUAGAAAAAUAAGGUGUGCUUUACCUUUACGGGCUGUAACACUCACUGUGAAGGUCUGCAGCUUCAAACCACAAACCCACCCCCGCUGGGAGGAAUGAACAACUUCAGACGGGCAGAGCAAACAACUCCAGAGGGGCCGCCUUAAGAGCUGUAACACUUAAUGGGAAGGUCUGCAGCUUUACUCCUGAAGCUAGCAAGACCACAAACCCACCAGAAGGAAGAACCUUUGAACAGGUCCGAACAUCAGAAGGAACAAGCUCUGGAUAUGCUGUCUUUAAGAACUGUAACACUCACGGCGAGGGUCUGCAACUUCAUUCUUGAAGUCGGUGAGACCAAGAACCCACCAUUUCCAGACACGGUACUAAUGAGUGUGACGUAGUAUCUCAUUGUGGUUGUGAUUUGCAUUUCUCUAAUAAUUAGUGAUGUUGAGCAUCUUUUAAUGUGGUUUGUUGGCCAGUUUUAGGUCAUCUUUGGAAAAUUGUCUAUUCAAGCUGUUUGCCCAUUUUCUAAUCAGGUUGCUAUUUUGUGAUUGUUGACACAUGUGUGCUUUGAAAUGACACAAAGAACAUAAGUUAAUGGAGAAAUCUGGUGAUCUUUUUCCCCUUAAGUGAUUGAUACAUACGCCUAAAAUCUGGGGGCUGAAGUUAGGGAGUAUGUACUAGUAGAAAAGAAUAAAAGGGGUAUUUUGAAGUUUUAUUUAAUAUGGGAUUUCUCAACCUCAGUACAACCAACAUUUGAAAGAGAACAGUUCUUUGUGGUGGGGGCUUUUCUGUGUGCUGAGAGGUGUCUGUGAGAUUACAAAUGGCAGUCCAGCCACCAGAUGCCCCAGCUCUGGUCAUUGCCGCAUGUUCUAAGAUAGGCAGAAUUGCCUGUGGUGGAAAACCACUGACUUUACGGUUUUGUGCAAGGACCAGGAGUAGUUGUGUCACCAAAGUCUUGGUCUUGUUAUUCUGGAUGUUAUCCAGCACUGUCAGGCUUCUCCUUUACCACCCAAACAAUACUGCACAAUAGAGCGAAGGUGAUCUUGUGUGCUAAAUCGCCUUCUGAAGAUUCGCUGUUGGUUAAAUUUCUGGGAUACAAAUGGCUUUAGGGGAAAAUGUUGAUAUUUUAGAUGACUUUAAAUGUUAUUUCUGCUGUAAAAAUCUUAUCAAGACGUUAUUCAAAGCCUACCCACAUGCAGAUACAAUUUUUUUCACAAAACAACUAGCUUGAUAUUAUUUUGAUUCUAUUUCACAUGUGUGCUGUACUCUAAGAAUAUAAAAAUAAAAUAUCUCUCUCUAGACCAUUUAUAAAUACCCUUUAAAAAACGAACACUAGGUAGUUGCUUUAGAAUUUUGGCAUGAACACAUAUUCUUUAAAAAUGACAACAAAAACUCUCUUUUCAAUUUUUCUCUGGUGCUUACUUUAGCAAAUUGUCUAUAGUUUACCA
This 1545-nucleotide long non-coding RNA is filed under the name Homo sapiens (human). RNAcentral's name for it is "HSALNT0025663". Lineage: Eukaryota; Metazoa; Chordata; Mammalia; Primates; Hominidae. The record is from RNAcentral.